This 269-nucleotide long non-coding RNA is filed under the name Lathyrus oleraceus (garden pea). RNAcentral's name for it is "Pisum sativum (pea) long non-coding RNA (PSAT_LNC005119)". The record is from RNAcentral. Lineage: Eukaryota; Viridiplantae; Streptophyta; Magnoliopsida; Fabales; Fabaceae.
GUAUCCUUACAAAUGUUGCCUUCAAUGACCAAACGAUGACCCUACGAUGACCCUUUUACAUCCAAAGGAUAAAACUGUUUACUUCUCAAUAGUAAGGACCGUUUUACCCUCAUAAGGAUAGGAAAUGCCCAUAAAGACCUUGGGUCGGUAUAACUCUUAAUUGCUGGCUCACAACCUAGAACAUUUUUCAUACCUCACACUCUGCAAAUACUAGAAAAUCACCACUUGGUAUACAUUCGUACUAGAAUCAUUGCCAAGUUAUAUUUUUC